UAACGGAACAACAUCUGUUUUUAUGAGUUAGCUUAAUGUUUCCAUCCUUCCACUUUGCUACGCUCUCGAACAUCCCACACACCACGCAAGAAUGAACUGUUUUGGGGAAAAUAUCCUUUGACACCACACCCACGUCCUCGUUUAUAAACUAAUGGAUGUCAGUCCCGCCAAAGUGCAGAGCGAUGCCAGUGAAGUGGGCAGGCCCGUUCAUCCGGGGGGUUUCCUAGCGGGCGAGGCCGGGAAAAGCGACCACCUCAAAGCGGGACGCAUCGUGGACUUCCCGGUGUCUGUGGUUCUACCUGCCGGCGGGACCGGAGAGAGAACCGGACUACAGACACCAAAACAGUUCUGUUCCUUUCUGGGAAGACCGCUUAUAAGCUUCACUAUCCAGACUUUUGAGAGGGUGUCAUGGAUCCAAAACAUUGUGGUUGUUGUUGCCAAAGAAAACAUGGACAUGAUGAUGGACAUCAUCCAGCGAUUCCAGCACAAGAAGGUUCAAGUUAUUCCAGGCGGCUCGACUCGCCACAGGUCAAUAUGCAACGGAGUCAUGGCUCUCGGCGAGGAGGAGAGGUCGGCGGAUGACAAACCAAAGGUGGUCAUCGUACAUGAUGCGGUGCGCCCAUUUGUGGAGGAGGACUUUCUGCACAAAAUAGCAGUGGCUGCCAAAGAGCAAGGGGCAGCUGGAGCCACUCGACCACUCGUUUCCACCGUAAUAGCCACAACAUCCGAGGGCUACCUGGACCAUUCUUUGGAGCGUGCCAAGUACAGGGCCAGCGAGAUGCCUCAGGGUUUUACAUAUGAUGUCAUCUAUCAGGCCUAUCAGAGGUGCACUGAGUCAGACUUGGAGUUUGGGACUGAGUGUCUCCAUUUGGCUCUGCAGUACUGUGGCACCAACGCAAAGCUUAUUGAAGGUCCGCCCACGCUGUGGAAGGUGACCUAUAAACGAGAUCUGGCUGCUGCAGAGUCUAUUAUUAAAGAGAUGUUGUCACAGUCAACUUGCCUUCUCACAGGAGAGUCCACGCCUGGUGUCAGAUCAGCUGAUGUCUUCCAGAAAGCCUUUGGAGCUCUGGAUAUGAAGCUGGACGUCAUCCCAGAUCUGAUGGGAGACAACGCCAGGUACCUGCUCAAAGCUUGGAACUUCAUCCAGGUUUCUUUCCAUUCUUCCUGCCUGUCUGAGGUGGAAGACAUACUUGUGGCUUUGGAUGCAACAAAUCAAGCUCUUCUCCACCCCCCCGUCGUCAUUUGGGUGCAUUUAAAGAGAACUGAUGAAAAGUCCAUGGCGUUGGCUGAGUCUGCUACAAUUAUGAACCUGGCCUCCACCGCCAAGCUUCGAAACAUCCUCCUCUAUGGUAUCGAGGUUCAUGGGUCUGAGGAACUCCUGAAUCAAAUCAGAUGAAAAUGACUCAGAGACAUUUCUGAGCUCAGAUGAAGAAACAUGAUGAUGAAAUCUGUGAGAACAUGAACCUGCAGCAGUGUUUCAUACCUGCUCCUCUCUGCUGUCGAUCUUCACCAGGUCUGCUCCCAGAUCCUCACAGAAACUUCUGCUCUCUUUCCAGGAUAAGCUAAUGUUACUGAAAUAAUAACACUUGUCUCCAUGUUUCUCCCAGUUUCUGUCCAACUUCAGACAAAAGUGAUCUUAGAACAGAUGAGAACAAAGACUGGAUUCAUCCAGGAGGAAGAAAUCUCUGUAGAUGUUUGUGUGAUUAGGAGGCAGCAGGAGGCGUCUUCUGUCCUGCAGUUACCAUCUAACUUCCUGUUCCUGUGGCUCCAUCAAUGUUUCUUUAACAUCAUUACAGGACAGAAAGGACACCGAUCAUUGGGAGAGGUCAGCACCCAAAGUCGCUGAGAUGGCAUCAGCCUUGAUCCGGGACAGGAACCCUGCCUUGGUGGGACAGCUUCUACAGGCGUGAAGGGAUAAACUCAUCAGAGCUGCGUUUGGGAAUUUCUUUGACCUCUCAUGAAGAGUAAAGGGGUAUUUCUAUUGUAUGAUGUUUGUGGGGAAGCUUGUGUCAUCAAGGAUAUAACAUCAAAUUAGUGGUUUUUCAUCAAUAUUCGAUUAAAAGAUGAUAAUUUCUGCAUAGAGUUUAGAUACUUUGAGCAGAUCACUUUAGGUGGUCGCACCAGGAGAUGCUCAUUGUUCUGGAGCAAAAGGAUGACAUUACAUUGGUUUGCUGCUUCAGAUGAUGUUUACAUGGACUGUUUUCAGCAGCUGAUUAAUCCCCAAUUUCAUGUGUUAGUAUUUACAGCUCAGAAUCAGCUGCAGUGUGUGUGUGUGUGUGUGUGUGUGUGUGUGUGUGUGUGCGUGCGUGCGUGCGUGCGUGCGUGCGUGUGUGUGUGUGUGUGUGUGCACGCUGUAGUAAAGGGACUUGUCAUCACUCGAUGCAGCAGCAUCUCUCAUGUGUUUCUGAUCUGCUCUGGAUACCAACAGAGCUGUGUGGUACUGACAUGUCGAGCUUUGGCAGAACAGCCAACACAUUCUUGUUUUUAUUUUUUUAUUUUAUUUAUUCUUUAAUCUGGAAUCACUUGAAGUGCAGUGGAUCUACAGUACAUCACAGGUUUGCAUCAACCACCCACACAACAAUUAAGGAGGAAUUUGAUUAAAUGCGUGUCAGAUGCGUUGAUUUACCAGCUGAUGGAGCUGUGCAGGAAUGCAACAUAUGCAACAACACAGUUGAAACUGGUUUUUCUUGAUUUUCUCAGAGUUUAGGAAACGUUUAUUUGUUUUGGUGAUCCUGGGCGCUUCACCUGCCCCAUGACGUUUACUUACUAGAGUUUAGGCAUGCACAUAAAUACAGGAAAUACAAACUUGAAGACUUGUGGUGUUCCAGCUCCUCUGCUCCAUUAAAUAUCCCUUCACUUACCUAAUUUACUUCAUAAAGAUCAGUAGAAAAAAUCAGGAAAAAUAUUUAAAUCUGGGGAUAAUAAAUAUGAAAUUAUAAUAGUUAAAACAUAUUUAGCAUGUUUUUUUUACCUUAAAAUAGAAAUGUUAGUUUUCUUAUUAAAAUAUUUAUUAUAUUUGUAUUUUAUUAGAUUGAUUUAGAUUUUUUUGUGUCCUUUAAUUUUGCAAUCCUUUUAACCAUUAAGACCAUUAAACUAAUAUGUUUGUAAUGUUGGCUGGCAGUUUAUUGCUUUAUGUUCUCUCCUGUGUCUAGUGUGUGCUAGCUCAGCUUUCUUACACUUUCUCAGGUUAUUUUCCUUUUUUAGCACCUCUCGUUCAUCUGCACUGUUCAGACGUGUUGGUAUUUCCCUGAAACACCUAAAAUUCUUCGUGGAUUUUGUCUCAUUUUCUGCCUCUUUACUUUGUUCUUCUUUAAAUCCCAAUUAAGAUGGAACAACAUUGCUCAUAUUUACAUUAAUCACCCAAAAUAUUAGAACCAGCUGCCAAAGGAGGCCUUCUGAAUGCUGCCAACACACCUAGGAUCCAUGGAGCCAUGCAUCUCAUAAGACCUCCGUAAGGUACUUUGUGGAAUGAGGCCUCUGUGGUUUAGACCUGUUAUUCUAACACAUACCUCAGGUACGUGAUCAGAGUGAGAUCUGGAGACUGAGGCCAAAGCUGCUUCUGGUGUUGUUCCUCAAAAUACUACAAGGACCUUUUUUUAGUGUAACAUAGAACAUAAUCUGGUCGAUAAAAAGUACUUUUCACAUGUUCUACCAAAAGUGCACCAGUGAAAGCCAUCAAUGGGAUGUUUUGGAACAGAUUGCUUUUAAAGGGGACAUAUUAUGACUUGUUUUAAGUUAUGAUACUUCUGUGAUCGAUACAAAACAUGUUCAUGAAGUUUUUGUUUUUACAAUAAAUCCCUCUCAAAAAGUGAUUUCAGCAGUUUUAGUCUUGACAUUUUCAGUACCUUCCAAAAUAAGCCAUUUCAGGGCUCUGUCACUUAAGAAAACAAGUUGGCCACGCUCACCCAUCCCCCACUCAGGCUGCUAUAAGCUGAGAAGCUCUGAAUAUCAGAAGGGGCUCAGAGUAGAGAUGCUGCUCCUUCAGCAGCAGCUCUCUUGCACAUGAGAGGCGGUGCUAUUCUACUUUACACAUUUGUGACAUCACAAACAGGGAUUUUUUUGAAACAUCUUGUUUUAGGCACAUAAUUCCUAAAACCAAAACUGACAAAGGGGAUGGAUUUUUUUUUUUAUGUUUGGAGUAUUUAUAGAGACAGUAGAGACCCAUCUUGUAGCAAAGACAUGCAAAAGGUGAAUUUUGCAUUUGUCUCCUUUAAUGCUAAUUUAUAAACCUGUCAUCUCAAAGUUUUUCCUCUAGCUGUCCUUCCAGGUAAGGAAACUCAUGUGCAGCAGUUUGUCAUUGGUGCAUCAAGUAUUUCAUCUUUAAAAUAACAUUAGGAACAUUUCAUGACAACUUUUGAAAAGCAUCUUUCUGUUUCCUGGUUUACCCGGUGAUCCCUGAGUCCAGUCUCUGUCUCACAAAGUAACCUUUAGCCUUGAGUGUCUUUGACUGACACCACCCUCUGAAGACAGUCCAAAAUAUAUAAUCAUGUUGUGUGGUGUAGAAUUUUAGUAAGUCGGUGAGUUUAAAUGUAUUUAAUUUUCUGAACAAAAUGUAUCCUGAUGCACAUUAUUCUGCUUUAGUUAUUGUCUACAAUAUAAAUAUGGACUUUCUUUGCAUUUAUCUCUGCAUUAGAAGAAUGCUUUCCUUCACCAGACAAGCAGAUUGUAUUUCAAGUGCUUUUGCCCCCCCUCCAGGUGUUACAACAAAUUUAUCUGCCUCAUGCCUUUCCCAGUUAUCUACAUAAAAGUAUCAUCUGCAAAGAGGAGGUAUUUCCAUAUGUUGGUUACCUUAUGUCUUAUGUCAUUUAUUUAAAGUGUAAAUAAUUUGAGCCCCAACAUUAAACCUUGUGGAACUCCGCACUAAAAGAAAACAUCUAAUCAGAACUUGUGUUUGGAGAAGUUUUACAAGGUUAAAUAUUAGCUCCUUGACAGAAAUUCACCAAUUCAUUUGUUUCCCCAUCAAGAUAGAGGAUACAAUGUUCACAGUACGUUAUUGUUGCUAAUACAACACUUCACAAGUGGCUUUAGCUUAAACUUUACAAAGUGAGAUUUGUUGCAGAAGUUGAAACUACUUUGGUGUGAAAUAUAAGUCUAUAACUAAUAGGCCCAAUCCCAAUACUCACACUGCGCCCUACGGUCUUCUGUGAAGUGCACUUAGAGGAAGUGUGCAGCAAGGUUUCAAGUGCAUGUUACACAAAUGUGCAAAUAAUCACUGAAUUGGGACAGGGAGCAUUGCGUCAUUGACUGCAAUGCAUGCUGAGAUGCUGGUCGCUGUGCAACUUUAAAAAAAAUAACUAUCAACAACGUUCAAAUAAACAACCAAACAAUUAUUUGAAUUAAAUUUACAUUCAUUGCUGCUUUGUAUAAAACAUUCUGAGCAUCAACUAAUCAUCCUAAAUAAACUACUUUCAUUUGAAAAUACAAAUUUUCACAAGAGUCACUUGAGCCUUUUUUCUCGCAGCAAUGGAUUGUGGGUAAUACCCUUCACGCAAGUCUGCAUUGAUGCAAGCUUGGGUGAAGUGCGGAUCAAGGGUGCAAAAGGGGCAUGAGCGACUUCCGCACUUGAGAAUCGGGACACUCUACCACUCGCAACCUUGGCCGGGAUGUGUGGAAGUGCGAGUAUGAGGAUGGGGCCGUAAACUGAGUAGCACACUGUCUUUAACAUGUUCUUAAGGAGAAAAAAAAGUUAAGUUCAUGUGAUUGCAGCUGUUCACUGGCCCACCUACAAAAAUAAAUAAAUAAAUAAACAAGAAGAAGAAGAAGAGCAGCUUUGGAUUUUAAAAGCAUUGAUGCCAGAACAUUCCAGAGAUUGACACAAAAGCCUUGUCUUCUCACACUUCCAGGCCGUCUCCAGUUUCUUGAAUGUCCCGGUUCCUCAGUGUGUUGGAAUUCCAGCUGAUGAUGGAGCUGAGCCUGAGGCGAGAGAGAGGCACCGUCCUCACGUUCAGAUUCUCCUGAUGAAGUCUUAAAUGUGCACUUGUGUACCGGAUGGAGGUGGUUACCCACGGUUACAGGUGAUGAUGGCUGAAAGCUGCAGAUUGAGUCAAACUUAACAUCUCUGCACAACGUUGUGAUGAUUGUCUGCUUUUCUAAACACUCAUUAUGAAUUCAUGCUUUUGUUAACAUUUCCUACGAAUUUUUUUUCUUUUCAUACCAGGAAUUAUUUGGAGUUACCUGAAAAAAAUUUUUGGUAAUUUAUUUUCUAUUUCAGCUGAGUCAGAUAUUUGGUCCCCAGUAUGUAUCUGCAUUUUAUUAUUACGCUUGUAGUGAACCCAUCAUUUUUAGCUGUCUGCUAUCUGAAACUCAAAAAUGCCCAAAUUGUUUUUAAUUUUAUUUAAUGCAAAACAUGCAGAUGUUUUUCUCAUCAGAAUGAAAGUAAAGAUUAUUGUUUCAGCAGCAUUUCUUUUGCAAAUUGUUCACAAUUUGCUGUUGCAGAAGUUGUUGUUUAAGCUUUUUUCGCCUUUAAACUUAAAAAUUUAGAGAUUCGGAGAUUAAUAUUUACAUCCAAACAGAAAAAAACUACACAAAAAGCCCAUUUCAAAAUAAAUCCUGAACCUUACUGAAGGAAAAGGAUGUAAAAAAAAAAAAAAAAAAAAACAAAACCAAAACAUAUAGUUUAUUUGUAUCUGGUGACACCUGCUGGAGAAACAUGUUUUGUUUUAUUCUGCUUCAUCCUAACUGUUCAUUAUUCAUUUAUUUCUGUCCAAACAGGAAUUUUUUACACGGAACAUAGUAAGUUUUGGCAGUAAUGACUUCAGAUCCAAAGAAUGAAACAUGUAUUUUUCCUAGACUGUGUUUUAAAACAUUUUUUAUAAAAUGUAAAAUGAGUUUAGUCUGACUGUCUGCAGGUCUGCCACUGCAAAAAUGGAUUUUCAAGAAAAUAAAGUCUUGUUUUUAGACAGUACAACUUUAAAUAACGUAAAUAUUUUCCAGUACGAAAAGAUGUUCAUGUUUUGAGUAGGAAAAAAUCUGCUAAUGGGGUACGCAAACAUGAUUUGGCUAGAAUUCUUAAAACUAGCAAAAUUAUCUGUUAGAUGAGUUUGCUACUUACUCGUUUGCAUUAUUUUUGGUCUUCAUUGAUAAUGAUUAUACUGCAUUAAUAAUAUGCAUUACUACAAAAUAAAAGCAUAAAUUUCUUUCCUCACAGUGUAUUCAACAAAUAAUUCAAUGGAAACAAAAAAUUCCACUGUCUAUCAUUUAUGAGAUGUUACACGUCCAAUUCAGUGUCUUUAAAACUUUAGAGUUGUUAAUUUUAAACAUCUGAUUGUACUGCUUUAACUAUGUUGCUGUAGGUAGAAACAGCAGAA
Molecule: non-coding RNA, 7307 nt
Organism: Nothobranchius furzeri (turquoise killifish)
Lineage: Eukaryota; Metazoa; Chordata; Actinopteri; Cyprinodontiformes; Nothobranchiidae
Source: RefSeq, a predicted model, not a curated record